RNAcentral lists this ribosomal RNA (274 nucleotides) under uncultured bacterium. Its description in RNAcentral is "partial 16S ribosomal RNA". It matches the Rfam family "Bacterial small subunit ribosomal RNA", at positions 523 to 796 of the family's 1533-position model. The record is from RNAcentral.
AUACGUAGGUGGCGAGCGUUAUUCGGAAUUACUGGGCGUAAAGCGCGCGUAGGCGGCUUUGUAAGUCGGAUGUGAAAGCCCUGGGCUCAACCUGGGAACUGCAUUCGGAACUGCAUGGCUAGAGUAUGGGAGAGGGAAGUGGAAUUUCCGGUGUAGCGGUGAAAUGCGUAGAUAUCGGAAGGAACACCAGUGGCGAAGGCGACUUCCUGGCCCAAUACUGACGCUCAGGUGCGAAAGCGUGGGGAGCAAACAGGAUUAGAAACCCCGGUAGUCC